This 253-nucleotide ribosomal RNA is filed under the name uncultured bacterium. Its description in RNAcentral is "partial 16S ribosomal RNA". It matches the Rfam family "Bacterial small subunit ribosomal RNA", at positions 524 to 776 of the family's 1533-position model. The record is from RNAcentral.
UACGAAGGGGGCUAGCGUUGCUCGGAAUCACUGGGCGUAAAGCGCACGUAGGCGGAUUGCUAAGUCAGGGGUGAAAUCCUGGAGCUCAACUCCAGAACUGCCUUCGAUACUGGCGAGCUCGAGUUCGGGAGAGGUGAGUGGAACUGCGAGUGUAGAGGUGAAAUUCGUAGAUAUUCGCAAGAACACCAGUGGCGAAGGCGGCUCACUGGCCCGAUACUGACGCUGAGGUGCGAAAGCGUGGGGAGCAAACAGG